UCGGGGAAUAUUGGACAAUGGAGGGAACUCUGAUCCAGUGACGCCGCGUGAAGGAAGAAGGUCCUCGGAUUGUAAACUUAUUUUGUCAGGGAAAAAUAAAAUGAUGGUACCUGAAGAAAAAGCACCGGCCAACUACGUGCCAGCAGCCGCGGUAAUACGUAGGGUGCAAGCGUUAUCCGGAUUUACUGGGUGUAAAGGGCGAGUAGACGGAAUAGCAAGUCAGAUGUGGAAUUUCAGUGCUCAACAUUGAAACUGCAUCUGAAACUGUUAAUCUAGAGUGCAGGAGAGGAAAACGGAAUUCCUAGUGUAGCGGUGAAAUGCGUAGAUAUUAGGAGGAACACCAGUGGCGAAGGCGGUUUUCUGGACUGUAACUGACGUUGAGGAGCGAAAGUGUGGGGAGCAAACAGGAUUAGAUACCCUGGUAGU
This 426-nucleotide ribosomal RNA is filed under the name uncultured Clostridium sp. RNAcentral describes it as "bacterial SSU rRNA". It matches the Rfam family "Bacterial small subunit ribosomal RNA", at positions 354 to 794 of the family's 1533-position model. The record is from RNAcentral. Lineage: Bacteria; Bacillati; Bacillota; Clostridia; Eubacteriales; Clostridiaceae.